This 379-nucleotide RNase P RNA is filed under the name Salinisphaera sp. Its description in RNAcentral is "RNase P RNA component class A". It matches the Rfam family "Bacterial RNase P class A". From Rfam's summary of the family: Ribonuclease P (RNase P) is a ubiquitous endoribonuclease, found in archaea, bacteria and eukarya as well as chloroplasts and mitochondria. Its best characterised activity is the generation of mature 5'-ends of tRNAs by cleaving the 5'-leader elements of precursor-tRNAs. The record is from RNAcentral. Lineage: Bacteria; Pseudomonadati; Pseudomonadota; Gammaproteobacteria; Salinisphaerales; Salinisphaeraceae.
GGAGUCGGCCGGACGGCCGCUGCUCCGGCGCCGUCCGCGGUGCCGGGGGGGAGGAAAGUCCGGGCUCCGCAGGGCAAGGUGCCAGGUAACGCCUGGGAGGCGCGAGCCUACGGAAAGUGCCACAGAAAACACACCGCCGAUGACCGCAAGCCGACCUCGUCGGCCUGCGGCACAGGCAAGGGUGAAAAGGUGCGGUAAGAGCGCACCGCGUCGCCGGCAACGGUGGCGGUCCCGGUAAACCCCACCUGGAGCAAGACCAAAUAGGGAAGCUACUGUGGCCCGCACGGCUUCCGGGUAGGUCGCUUGAGGCGGAUGGUGACGUUCGCCCCAGAGGAAUGGCCGUCCACGACAGAACCCGGCUUACAGGCCGACUCCCUCU